AUGAAAGCGGAGUCGGAAAAAGUGGUUCACGUUCUAUCACCGAAGUUAAGCAACGUCUGACGUUGUUUGUACUUUCAUGGGGACCGGACAAGAAUAUCAGGCGUUGCGGCC
Molecule: ribosomal RNA, 111 nt
Filed under: Fasciola hepatica (liver fluke)
Lineage: Eukaryota; Metazoa; Platyhelminthes; Trematoda; Plagiorchiida; Fasciolidae
Source: RNAcentral